CCUACGGGAGGCAGCAGUGGGGAAUAUUGGGCAAUGGGCGCAAGCCUGACCCAGCAACGCCGCGUGAAGGAAGAAGGCUUUCGGGUUGUAAACUUCUUUUGACAGGGAAGAGGAGAAGACGGUACCUGUCGAAUAAGCCACGGCUAACUAAGUGCCAGCAGCCGCGGUAAUACGUAGGUGGCAAGCGUUGUCCGGAUUUACUGGGUGGAAAGGGCGUGUAGGCGGGUUGACAAGUCAGAUGUGAAAUCCUGCGGCUUAACCGCAGAACUGCAUUUGAAACUGUUGAUCUUGAGUACUGGAGAGGCGGGCGGAAUUCCUAGUGUAGCGGUGAAAUGCGUAGAUAUUAGGAGGAACACCAGUGGCGAAGGCGGUCCGCUGGACAGCAACUGACGGUGAGGCGCGAAAGCGUGGGGAGCAAACAGGAUUAGAUACCCGAGUAGUC
This 442-nucleotide ribosomal RNA is filed under the name uncultured bacterium. RNAcentral describes it as "partial 16S ribosomal RNA". It matches the Rfam family "Bacterial small subunit ribosomal RNA", at positions 338 to 795 of the family's 1533-position model. The record is from RNAcentral.